UCUUUUUAACUUGUUCACACUUUCCUCUUUCACUUCACUUCUCUCUUUUAGCUUUCCUCUUUCACUAUUUCGAUACAUAUCAUUUGUGAUGAACCAAAGAGAGCUGAAGAACCAACGUGAAGAGAGCUGAAGUACAUCUUCUCUUUUCCGAUAAAUAUUUGUGAGAAAAAUAGGUUAAAGAGUUGAAGUCGAUCAAUAACUGAGCUGAAGAGUUGAAGUCAUACUAAUAGCUCAAGUCGUUUUCUCCAAUAACGAUUUCUUGAAGACUAAUUUCUCAUGAAGAACACAAUUUCAAACAGAUUUUGUUGGUGUAGGUUUUAUCAGCCACAACGAUAAAGGAUGUGAAUUGCCGAGUGGUGAUCAUUUGUCUACGGCAAUUGGCAGAUUGUCUGGGAAAGAAGGAAAGACAAAAUUUGCUAUUGAGAAUGCGAUAAAGACUAAGAUAGUAAUUGCAGAUUGUAAGAUACAUAUAUUUGGAUCAUUUUGAACAAUAAGAUUUCUAGAGAUUCACUUUGUAGUCUCAUUAUGGGGUCUCCUGCUGAUUUUUGAUGAACAAAAGAGAUAAUGAACCAAGGUGAAGAGAGGUGAAGACAGCUGAAGAAUCAAUUAUCUUUUCCUAUACACGCUAAAAGAGUUGAAGUCAUCGAAGAACUGAGCUAAAGAGGUGAAGAUUUGAAGUCAUCGAAGAAUUGUAGCUCAAGUCGUCUUCUCCAAUAACAAUUUCUUGAAAAAUAAUUCUGCUCGGAAUCCUCAUCCGUCGUUAGUGUUCAAGUUUCACAGUGAAGAUUGUUUUCGUGCUCGUCCCAUUCCAGUUCACUGCCUGAAGAAAGGUUGAGGGAACAAACUAAGAUGUCAAUAUUACGGGUUCAUGUGCCAUAGUUUACUGCCGGUUUGAUUACAUGGAUUGUGUUUUUUAUUGAUCAUAUUGAUCAUUUCAUUGGCUAUUUCGAGAGUCUAUUUCGAUGAGUAAAUGCCGGUAAUUGAAUUUGAAUUUUGCCUAGAAGUAAACUCAAUCUACUUUAGUGAAUGAUGAAGAGUUUUUGUACUAUUGUCAUAUAUGUUUGAAUGCCGUAUAUUUUUUUUGGAAUUUAUAUAUAUUAAAGACCUUUAAGCAAUCACUUUCUAUGU
Molecule: long non-coding RNA, 1128 nt
Organism: Solanum pennellii
Lineage: Eukaryota; Viridiplantae; Streptophyta; Magnoliopsida; Solanales; Solanaceae
Exons: 7
Source: RefSeq, a predicted model, not a curated record